Molecule: non-coding RNA, 27 nt
Filed under: Rattus norvegicus (Norway rat)
Lineage: Eukaryota; Metazoa; Chordata; Mammalia; Rodentia; Muridae
Source: RNAcentral
UGUGAAAUGUUGGUUCCUUGGGAACAG